AUCCCCGUAGCACAAUGGAUUCUGCAUUGAACUUCUAAUCCGAAGGUCGUGGGUUCGAAUCCCACCUAGGAUG
This is a non-coding RNA of Trichonephila inaurata madagascariensis, 73 nucleotides long. Lineage: Eukaryota; Metazoa; Arthropoda; Arachnida; Araneae; Nephilidae. The record is from the annotation of a GenBank genome assembly.